UUAAAAAUGGAAACGUCAGGUGCCAUAACGACUUCCUGUCGAAAUGGAUAAACGGGAAUCAGGUGCGCGGCAAACCGCCGCAAUGCCUGGGCUGCCCCCGCAACGGUAAGCGCUAAACGGUGCAUCCAACACGCCACUGGGUUUUUACCCGGGAAGGCGAUGCACUUCAGGCGCAAGCCCGGAGACCGGCCUGAAUGCCAUGCCAAUG
This 208-nucleotide non-coding RNA is filed under the name Thiobacillus sp. Lineage: Bacteria; Pseudomonadati; Pseudomonadota; Betaproteobacteria; Nitrosomonadales; Thiobacillaceae. The record is from RNAcentral.